RNAcentral lists this ribosomal RNA (322 nucleotides) under uncultured eukaryote. Its description in RNAcentral is "partial 18S ribosomal RNA". It matches the Rfam family "Eukaryotic small subunit ribosomal RNA", at positions 1470 to 1796 of the family's 1831-position model. The record is from RNAcentral.
CCCUUAGAUGUCCUGGGCCGCACGCGUGCUACACUGACACUUACACCGAGUUUUUCCAAUGCCGAAAGGCCAUUGGUAAUCAGCAAUAAGUGUCGUGAUGGGGAUAGAUCUUUGGAAUUAUUGAUCUUGAACGAGGAAUGCCUAGUAAUCGUAGGUCAUCAGCCUGCGAUGAUUACGUCCCUGCCCUUUGUACACACCGCCCGUCGCUCCUACCGAUUGAAUGGUCCGGUGAAAUCUCCGGACUGGCGUGAGUCGGAGCAAUCUGACAAACACCGGAAAGUUGAUUAAACCUUACCAUUUAGAGGAAGGUGAAGUCGUAACA